Molecule: ribosomal RNA, 497 nt
Filed under: uncultured bacterium
Lineage: Bacteria
Description: partial 16S ribosomal RNA
Rfam family: Bacterial small subunit ribosomal RNA
Source: RNAcentral
GAUGAACGCUGGCGGCGUGCCUAAUACAUGCAAGUCGAGCGAACAGAUAAGGAGCUUGCUCCUUUGACGUUAGCGGCGGACGGGUGAGUAACACGUGGGUAACCUACCUAUAAGACUGGGAUAACUUCGGGAAACCGGAGCUAAUACCGGAUAAUAUUUCGAACCGCAUGGUUCGAUAGUGAAAGAUGGUUUUGCUAUCACUUAUAGAUGGACCCGCGCCGUAUUAGCUAGUUGGUAAGGUAACGGCUUACCAAGGCGACGAUACGUAGCCGACCUGAGAGGGUGAUCGGCCACACUGGAACUGAGACACGGUCCAGACUCCUACGGGAGGCAGCAGUAGGGAAUCUUCCGCAAUGGGCGAAAGCCUGACGGAGCAACGCCGCGUGAGUGAUGAAGGUCUUCGGAUCGUAAAACUCUGUUAUUAGGGAAGAACAUACGUGUAAGUAACUGUGCACGUCUUGACGGCACCUAAUCAGAAAGCCACGGCUAACUACGUG